UGGGAAAACUAACAAAACAAAAAGGGAAAAACUAGAGGUUCAGGCUCAGAGUCCGUGUUGUUACCCUUGUAACUGUGUUCAAUCUUUCAAUCAAGAGGUUUUUCUUUUGGGCACCGUUCUUGUUAGGAUCCACUGGCUCUUAUUUUUCUCUUCUUUUUUAUGCGCUCUUUUGAGCACGCUUUUUGUCAACCUCAAUACUUCUAGAUAAGUGCUUCAUGAUACUUCUCAUAAUUUUUUCAUUUUUCUUUUUUUUUUCUUUUGAAGUUUCAUACUUUUCUAUUUUUUUCUGCACUUAUCUAGUCUUCAUCGGUGUCCCUAAAAAUUGAAGAAACCCCAAACUUAGGAUUUUCCACAGAUCUGAGGCCAAUAACACUUAUCCAAGCAAGGUGCGGUAGUGUUUAGGCUUACGGUUAUUUAUAGUGGUUAAACAACAAACAAAACGAAAUAUGACUCGAAUUGGGUGAACGAAGGGUAGUAAUGGCGGG
RNAcentral lists this long non-coding RNA (485 nucleotides) under Lathyrus oleraceus (garden pea). Its description in RNAcentral is "Pisum sativum (pea) long non-coding RNA (PSAT_LNC002841)". The record is from RNAcentral. Lineage: Eukaryota; Viridiplantae; Streptophyta; Magnoliopsida; Fabales; Fabaceae.